Non-coding RNA from Amborella trichopoda, 3272 nucleotides. Lineage: Eukaryota; Viridiplantae; Streptophyta; Magnoliopsida; Amborellales; Amborellaceae. The record is from RefSeq and is a predicted model, not a curated record.
UAUCACAAUUUACCCCUAAAUUUUCAAGCUUAUGCAGUAUUUACUUCAUGGUGUAUAUAUCAUGUUCAAUACCUAUUGCUUUUAUCAUGGCUGAAAUGUUGAGAUCUUGAGAUUUUAAUUACUUUUGUAAAGCAUUUAAGCAUUUUUUGCUUUUGUUCCUUAUGACAAUGGUUCAAAAUAUCAGUUGGUUUACCUUCUCUUAAUUUAAUGGUAACAUGGUUUGGAACAGUUGGCAUGAUGUGGAUGUGGAGGUGCGACUGGUGCAACUGCUCCUACCUGAGUCCCGAACUCUUGACCAUCAUCCAUGGGGCUCCUAGUCGAUACACUUCGCAUGGAUUGCAGUCCAGUUUUUACCCAGCUUCUAGCUCUUAUGGCUACUCUCUCUCUUUCUCUCUAUCUCUCUCUCUCCCUCUGUUCGUUUUUUGUUUCUGUUUCGAUGGGUCCCUUGUUUCUACUCUGGUUCUAUGUGUAUUAAUGCAUAUUGUUUGUUGAUGGGUGAUUGGUCUCUCUCUCUCUCUAUAUAUAUAUCUCUCUGUCUCUAUAUCUCUCUCUCCUGUUUGCUUUUUGUUUUGUUUUGAUGGGUUCCCUGUUUCUACUUUGUUUCUGUGUAUUAAUGCAUACUGGUUGUUGAUGGGUGAUCUCUCUCUCUCUCUCCCUUUGUUCCUUGUUUUUUGAUGAGAUGCUCUGUCUUUGUAUAGUUCUUACUUCUAAGUUAUCUGAAAUGAAUAAUGUGAAGGCUAAUAAAUCUGCACACAAAGAGUACGUUCGUGACUUGAGUUUCUCAUGGACGGACCUGAAGUUUUGCUCUUGCUCGGAUGAUGAUACUAUUAAAGUAUGGGACUUUGCUCGAUGCCAAGAAAAGCGGAGCUGGAAAUUGUACCUUACUUAUCGAGUUGGCUUUGGAGAACCUGUAAUUUUCUCUGUUUAACGUACUAAAUUUUGGGAAUGGGGUUGAGGUUGUGGUAGUAACACCAGUUGAGCCUCCUCAGCUACUGGUUUAGGUUUUUAUUCCCACUAACGCAUUUGAAAAUUGCUAAUUAUUUCUAAAAAUGGGUAGGGGCCUGUAUUUUCUGUGUUUAACAUAUUAGUACAGCGCCGUGCAAAGCAUGGCAUGUACCAAGAUCAAUGAACUAUGGAAAAAUGUUCAAAUCCAAGCAAUUUGUAGUAAAAUUUGAAAAAUAAUAUGAACUAAUGCAGUAGCUUUUUGGUAGAGAAAACUUUCAUUGUUAAGGAGAUUAUAUUCAUUGUUGAAGCUGAUAUAGUAAGCAUCAAUAUACAAAUAGAUCAGGCUUCUGAUGAAUUAAAAUAAACUCCUGGAACUCUGAAGUCUGAAGCUUUUAAAGAUAAAUCUAGAGGAAAAGGUAGUCUAAUCGAAGUACUCUAUAGAAAAAAGUAAAGAACAAAAAAACAAAGAAAAACUAAAAAAUGGUCAAAUUAAUAGAAACAAAACGUGCAUUACCAGUGAGGUCGUUUGCAUACUCAUUGUUAAACUUGCCAAGAUGUACAUACAAAUUGAUUAUUUCAUGUAACUAUUAGAUUCUUGUUAUCAUGUGCUAUAGAUAUCCCAUUUGGGGAUUCCUUUGUGUGUGUGUGUAACUGGACUCUACUUCUAUGUGUUGGGUAUCUAUAUCCUAUAUGCUCUGUCAUAUUAGGUUUCUCAUAUCUAACCCUUAACAGUGGCUUUAUAUAUGAUAAUAGAUAAAAUAAUAAAGGGAUUGUGGCAAAUAAUACAAUUGAGACCACUGGAUGUACUUAAUCCCCUGGACUAUGUAGUUCAAUAAGACACUUUUACUAAGCACAAUCAACUGACUAAUAAGCCUUUGUAAUGGGCUCCAUCAAUUUCCUACUCUGCUUCUCAAGUAUCAAAGCUAAAUUAUAUCCAUUCAUGGAGAACAUUGGUCCGGAUUGCAAGUUUAAGCAUACCUUAUUCUGAUACAACUACCCCAGUACUUUUGUGAGCGCACAAAUGCUUCACUGGCCCUGUCAUUUCCUUCUUAACUGCUGAUCCGGUCCUUCCCCUAUUGUCUUUCUUGUAGGUACCUCUUAAUACAUUAUUUAAAUCUGCACAUCAUUCGUUAUCUCCUUGGGGCUUCACCUUAUGGACUCAGGCCCUUAUCCUUGUGAAAUACCCAAAAGCCUCCAACGAUGUAUUAAACUCUACCCAUACUCCUCCGUGAGAAUCUAUUAGCAUAUGAUUACUUCGCAUUUCGCAUUUGGUUGUUAGUUCUUUUUAUGGCUCAUUACGUAGUUAUAUGCAAUUAUUUAUCCAUUGGAACUCUUGUUUGGCCACACUAGAAAAGAUGCAUGUGAUGGGGUUUGGAGAACAUCUCUCCUCCAAUUCAAAACUACAUCUUGAUUGCUUUAGAGCUGCCCUUUAGAUUAUUUAUCUUGUUUAUAUCAUUUAUUCUAUUGAAACUCCUGCUGUUUAGUUUUCUUAUAGCUCAUUGCUUGGUUAUAUGCGAUUGUUUAUCUGUUGAAACUCCUGUUGGGCUAAUAUUCUUUCCUUGGUGAGUGUAAGAUCACUAUUAGAUUUUUUUCUCGAUUGUACUUCAUAUUAGAUUUAUUGUGUAUGCACUAAACUGUGUUUUUUACGUCUUCCAUAAUUAUUUCUUAUUUUUUGGGUCGCAGUAUUUUUUAUUUCAUUGAUACAUUUUCUCAUUUUCUUGUGCGAUCCUCAUUUUCCUUCUUUCUAUUUGUCCUUCCUUAUCAUCUUCGUUCUCCUCAAGCCGUCAUACAUUUUCUCCUUGUUCCAAACAUUCUUCUGAAACCUAAUCUAGAAAUAUGUUUACACCCUUGCUAAGAAGUUCUUUGAUAACUGCACCUGUUGCUUUGAAUUGGAAGAUGCAGGCCUUGGAUGAUACAUUUUAUUAGUUUUAUCAUGUUAAAGGGAUGAUACAUGCAAUUAUUGCAAACAAGGGAUAACCUGAGAUUCUUUUUUGUGUGUAAACUCAGACAGGUCACCUAUGGGAUGUAAAGAGUGUUGACUGGGACCCUACAAAAUCUCUGUUUGUUUCAGGUUCGGAUGUAAGAAUUGUGUUACAUAUCCUGCACUUUGCUUCAUUGCUAUGCAGUGCUGUGAUGAUGUUUUAUGUACCGGAACGGUUAUAGGUCGCAAGGAAAGCCUUGUGAAACUUUGGGAUGCAAAAUUAGGGAAAGAAUUUUGUUCGUUGUGGGUUGGAACACAUUUUCACUGAAAGAUGAGAUUUGCUUCCAUGAAAAUUUAAUGAUUCACUUCCAUUUAAAUAUAAUCAAUACAACUUGGCGUUUAUAAA